UACGGAGGGUGCUAGCGUUGUUCGGAAUCACUGGGCGUAAAGCGCGCGUAGGCGGCCCGAUAAGUAGGGGGUGAAAUCCUGCGGCUUAACUGCGGGGCUGCCUCCUAGACUGUCAGGCUCGAGCACGGUAGAGGCAGAUGGAAUUCCCGGUGUAGCGGUGGAAUGCGUAGAGAUGGGGAAGAACAUCGGUGGCGAAGGCGGUCUGCUGGGCCGUUGCUGACGCUGAGGCGCGACAGCGUGGGGAGCAAACAGG
Molecule: ribosomal RNA, 253 nt
Filed under: uncultured bacterium
Lineage: Bacteria
Description: partial 16S ribosomal RNA
Rfam family: Bacterial small subunit ribosomal RNA
Source: RNAcentral